Molecule: long non-coding RNA, 840 nt
Organism: Humulus lupulus (European hop)
Lineage: Eukaryota; Viridiplantae; Streptophyta; Magnoliopsida; Rosales; Cannabaceae
Exons: 2
Source: RefSeq, a predicted model, not a curated record
UCUUAGUUUCAUGUUAGGGUGAUUGGUGCAGGAUAAUUGGCCUUCUGUGAUGUUUGCAAUGGCAGGAGGGGUGGUACUUAGCCUUGGAAAUCUCUCAACUCAGUAUGCUUGGGCUUUUGUUGGCUUAUCAGUCACAGAAGUGAUCACUGCAAGCAUAACAGUUGUUAUAUGUCCUUUCUUUCAUUCUCUCUCUCUCUAACCAUUUCUAAAUGUUGAUGUUUGUCUGUGUUGCUCUUAUAGAUACUGAAUUUUUUGCUUCUGUUGCGAUCUUUAAUGGUGACAGGAACAACCUUGAAUUACUUUUUAGACAAUAGAAUUAAUAGAGCCGAGAUCCUUUUCCCUGGUGUGGCUGCUUCUUGGUUGCAGUUUGCCUUGCUUCUACUGCCCACUCAUCUAAUGCAGCUGAUAAUAAAGAAAAGCUUGAAGGUUUUUAAUCUAAAGAGGGGUAUGUUUGAUUCAUUAAAUGUUAAGGUUAUCAAAGAAUUAUCUUGUUUCCAGGUGACAUUCUUCUUUCUUUUUAUUAGAAAGAGUUCUUUUUUCUAACUUUAUUUUUAGUUUUAUUGUAGAAAUUGGGCUAAACCUUAUAUUAAAGAUGCUAAAGAAGUUUCCAGGUAUAUUGAGAUGAUUUCUUUGGAGCAAUUCUUGACAACAUUUGUAGUUGAGGCCUUUAGAAUGGAAGAAUGUAUUUCACUAAUUUUUGUUUACAUUUCUUGUUUUGUAUUUAGUGAUAAAGGAAUCUGAAUUUGGCAUAAAUUAUGUUGUAAUAUGAUUUCUUAAGCCUAGACUAGUAGACUAAAUAUUGUAAUUACAUUUGAGUAAUUAAUAAAAAUCUAUUUAUGU